AUACUCAGUAUAUCCUUAUAUAACUUUUUCUUUCAUUCAUCUAUUUUUUAAAAUUGAAUUUAAUGUUUUGUUUGUUUGUUUUCUGUUUUUUGAGACAAGGUCUUUCUGUGUAGUCCAGGCUGGCCUUGAACUUGCUGUGUAGCCUCAGCUGGCCUCAACCUCUCAAAGAUCCUCCUGCCUUAGCCUCCUGAGCGCUGGGAUUACAGGUGUGUGCCAGAGCAUUUCUCUCCACAGUGUCAGGCCCCAGGGAAAGCUGCUUUCGCCACCAGGCCAGCUCUCAGGGUUCGGCAGCUAAGAAGAGAUGAAGACGGAAAGCAGGAGCUCUCCGAUGUCCCCCGGUAUAGACUGCUUCAUGUGGAACACUGCCAACUUCAUCUAGGAUCAAGCUUGCUUCCGGGCAUGAAGGAAGUUCCAAAAUUAG
RNAcentral lists this long non-coding RNA (421 nucleotides) under Heterocephalus glaber (naked mole-rat). Its description in RNAcentral is "lncRNA (ENSHGLG00100044084.1)". Lineage: Eukaryota; Metazoa; Chordata; Mammalia; Rodentia; Bathyergidae. The record is from RNAcentral.